Molecule: long non-coding RNA, 2905 nt
Organism: Alexandromys fortis (reed vole)
Lineage: Eukaryota; Metazoa; Chordata; Mammalia; Rodentia; Cricetidae
Exons: 2
Source: RefSeq, a predicted model, not a curated record
AAGACAAAAAGUAAGACACUAGUUUAAAGCAACUGCCACACUUAUUUUGUAGGAGAAAAACAUACAUUAAAAUGAAGCCCUGAGUUGGGGGAGAUGCCUCCGUGGGUAAGUUCAGAUCUCCUGACUCCACAUCAAGAGAGAUGUGGUAGUGCACAACUACAAAUUCAGUGCUCCUCCAGUGAGAGGCCGAGACAGAAACCUCUCCAGGAGCUAUGGGGGUAGCAGCUGGGCUGCUACACUACAGCAAAGGAGAUCCUGCCUCAAGAAGGACCAAGAUCCAAGGCUGUCCUGUGACCUCCACACACCGAGGUAUGCAACCUACAAAAACAAAGGCAGUACUGUGGACUCACCCGACUUCUGUUAAUUCUUCUGUACCCUCUUCCCUCUCCCAAUUAGUGCCCUUCCACGGCCAGCCCUUCGUUGUUAUCUCAAACAAUAAUCCACACAGAGAAGUGCUUUGAACUGCUAAACAGCUAUUUUAAGUGCUUGGCUACAAUUCUGAGCAGGUUAAGUUAGAAACCGAGCAAACUAUCCCCAUCAGUGCAUUUUCUUCUACAAGGUGACAGGUAACUCAGGCACCUCAAAUACGGGCUCUCUGAAAACCCUUGCGACUCAAAAGGCAAUUUAAAAGUCUGUUUAGACCACUAACUUUUAAAUGUGAGGGAACUAGUGUUACCUAAUUCAGCUUCUUUAUAGAGAAACUUGAUUGUAGCAAAGUUAGUUUUCUAGGAAUUUAUAUAGCAACAAUAAUUUAAAUUAAGUCUGACCCAAAACAAUGCUAAAUUUGCUGCCCAUUAUGCAAUUUUUAAAAUUAAUUAACUAAUCUGUUUGUUUAGGUUUUUGCUUUGUUUUGUUUUUGAGACAGGCUCUCACUAUGUAGCUCUGGCUGUCCCAGGGCUCACUGUGUAGACCAGACUGACCUCAAAUUCACAGAGAUCCACCUGCCUCUGCCUCCCAAAUUCCGAGAUUAAAGGUGUUUAACUCCAUGCUCAGAAACUUAAUCUCUUGAAGCAGAUGUUGCUAUUUUCAAAGAAGAUGGGCUCAGAUGAAAUUACCCCUUUUUUUAACCUAUGCAGCAAAAUCAAGGAUUAGAAGUUGGUUCUUCCUGGGUCUGGAAUCCUAUUUUAGUAGUUCAGAAUGGCGCAGAGCACAUCCCAAGGAUUCCCCUUCAACUCCCAGCACACAAGUCAGUCAGUCUGUCUCCUCUCUCUCUCUCUCUCUCUCUCUCUUUUUCUCUCUUUCUCUCACACAUACACACACACACACACACACACAAUUAAGUUUAAGGGAAAAAAGCCUAGAGUUGGUUCCUUUUUGCAGUUUAUGUUACUGAAAAGCAAGUUCCAAAAAUUAACUUGUUUUUCGAGACAGGGUUUCUCUGUGUAGCUCUCUGGCUGUCCUGGACUCGCUUAGUAGAUAAGGGCAGCUUCAAAUUCAGAGAUCUUCCUUCCUACCUCUACCUCCGGGGUGCUGGGAUAAAGGGUGUUCGCCACCACUGCCUAGCCCAAAAAUUAACUUUUAAGGGCAAGAAUACCUAUGUUAACUGCACAAACAAGUGGGUUUACAUUUACUUACAACAAACUCCAAACUCAAGAGACAGUAAUUCUAAACUCAUUACCAAGUCCUCAAGGCAGCUAGAACACAGCAGUGGCAAUGAACAGUUCAAGGAUACACUUUUUACGUUAAAAACAAAAAAAUUACAAUGACUGCAGAAUAACCACUUAAUGUUCUGGGAAUUUUCACGAAUUUGCACAAUUAAAGCCAUUUAAGAAUAAAACUACGUUAACAUGGAUCACUACAAUGAACAACCCAACUUCAGCCGGUAAAAUAUGUAAUCUGAAAGUACUAUCUCUGCGGAAAAUGUCAUAAAUACGCUGUUCUGGAAUGCAUGUGGAGCCUAGCAACCACUUUUAAAGUUUCAUUUGCCCUUCUCUCUCUCUCUUGACUUUCAAGACCUAAAUAUCUUUAUGAAUCAGACUAUUUAGUCAAGCUCUUUCCCACUGACCAAAUCUUUUGAGUGGUACCUUCAUUAUUAACUACAUGAACAACCCAGUUGUUUUUUUUUUUUUUAAAAAAAAGGGAAAAAAAGGGAAGAAAACCACCACCCACCGGAAUUUGGCAUUAAAAAAGUUAAUUGUGGGGGGGGGGGAGAAAGAGAGGGAGAGAAAGGAAGAGGGGAGGAGACGGGAAUGAGGGAGGGAGAAAGUGGGAGUGUACUUUUGGGCCUUAGUCUUCGUAAUUCACUUACAAGGUAAAAUGUCAUAACCAUUUAGAAGUUAGCAGGACAUACAAACAAAAGGGCAUAAACGAACUUAGUAUUUUACUUCCUCCUUCGCUCCAUCCCUACCGCCGAAUGAUCAUGUCCUGUCCUAUACAGGCUCCCGGUUUCCAAGGCUAGAAAAAGAGUGGGCGGUUUAUGAAGAGCAGGCCUGCUCUGCCGGCUGAGAUGUUCAAGAUCAAGACACUGCUGUCUAGAAGGCUGGUUGUUGAGUGACCACUUCCUCCAAGAUUAAGACAAUCCAUCCUGCAGGAAGGCCAGCAACUCAAAAUAGCUUCAGGAGCCCCUGAAACUAACCAGAUUCAUUAGGCCCCUUCCUGUCAGAGUAAACUAUUAGAGCUGACAUCCCCCUCAGACCACAGGAGACCUGCAAGGUAAAGAAGACUCUGAGAGCAGGCCAGCUACCUGGAAGCAGCAGAAACCAGCCAUUCUGCCUGGAAGAGGUUUGGACCAACUGAGACACCCUGGAGGGACGUUGAGCUGCCUGCAGGCUGUGCAGUGUGCUCCACGUUCUCAACUUUGUGAGCUGUUACUAAUGCUGGGGUGGGCCUUGGUGAUGAAGCUGUCUUUGAGUCAUCUCUGCUCCUGGAAGUAAUGUCAAUAAAAUUUAGCGUUUGCCAACUUGGA